GUCGUACUUACGAAGGUGACGACAAAGCAGCGCAAGGAAGCGGUGUCGGAUCAUUGGUGGACCGUUGUUAGCUUUAGCGAAGUAGGUUUGAGCAGGCUUAAGGUUGAAGGCGAUUGUAUGUUUAUGUUGUGCUGAAACGAAAAGAAGUAGACGUCGGAAGGUGUGGAAGAGUCUUUGCUCUUGGAAUCAUGUCGUGGUGAGUGGAUUGGAGAAAGAGGUCGUCGUCAUGGUGUAAAAGUUGUGAUCAACAUUGUUUAGAAGUGAACAGACACGUUGGGAGUUGUGCACACGGAGAGCAGGUGGAAGUGGUGUGCCGUUGGAGUCCACUCGUGACAGCGAAAGACAUGGUUGGCCUCCCGACGGAAGGACAGUGAGUAGAGGUUUGUGGGUGAUGUGGUCAUUUGUCGAAUGUGUGACCAAUGUGAUGUGUGAGUAGGAGUUGGGGGACCGGAGGUGACGGAGUAGGAAGAAGAUGGAUCCUGGUUGAAGGCGGAGAGGCUAACGUGGACUGCAUGAGAAGUCGGAGGUAACGGGGACUGGAUCAGAAGUCCUGUGUGCCGUGGGUGAGAGAAGGUACGGGAGUCGGAGCUGCGUUCCGGGUGCUGUGGGGGAGCGAAGGUACACGUUGGAUCUGGAUGUGGAGCUGGGAGUACGGGAGUCGGAGAGGCUAAGGAGGACUGCGUCAGAAGUCAGAACUGCGUUGUCGGGGCCGUGGCGGAGUGAAGAUAUUGCCAAGGUGCUGGAAGACUAAAGGGAUUCGUCGACGUUCAAGUGGCGGACUCCGAGGACCUGGAAUGGGCGCAAAGGACAGGAGGUCCACCAACAACAAUGGAUUGUUGUUGGUGGUUGUGUUGUGGCGAUGUUGUAAGAAUCAGCAUGUGGUGUCACGGAGAGUCAAAGAUGGGGUAUUAGUUUAGCGAGGGAAGGGUUAGCGAUAGCAGUUGUAGUUUACAAUGAGUGAGAGCUUAGUGAUGUGGAUUACCUUCGCACUACACAUUACUUUGCAUGCACUACUACUACUACACAUUAGUUUGCAUGCACUACUACUACUACAGAUUACUUUGCAUGUACUACUACUACAAGUGUUCUUCCUCUUUUUCGUGGUGUUUGAAGGAAUCCAGUCACGAGUUCUCAGCGGCUGCCGAGUUCAUGGAUGCGGUGUCCAAAACCAGAGCCGGUACCCUCUGGUUUAGUGAGCCGCUCUUUGGACGGUGUAGCGUUAUGCUGAAAUGCAACCACUCAAUCAGUAAAUGGGAGAGGUUGCUGAGAUGAGUUUGUAGUCAUAGCAUUAGUGACCUAAUGGUCUGGUAAAGGCCUAUCUGUGAGGACAUGCUGAUUCACUGAAAGUGUUGUUGUUAUUAUGUUUGUGUUCAAAUGAAGUAGUUGAAAUGUGACAUCGUAGUGCUGUUGGUAGUCAGGUAGAAGUGUUUGGGGUUGUGUCGUGGGUGUUAGCGACGUAACUUUCUGAGUAAUGCUAUGUGUUGCUCAGUAAGGGGGUGUAUUGUUUUGUUUGUGUUGUAUGUUUUGUUUUGUGACUAUGUGUUUGAAUUGUGUGUGGUUGUAGUGAAACGGUACCGUUUGUGAGAGUGUUUUGUGUGUCAAAAUUUGCAGAGCUUUGUUGAAUGGGAGUUUGUGGGUAUUGUUCAGUGACUUGAUGUCCUGACAGCAGUUUAUGUGAUAUUUGUUGUUGUUGUGUGUGGAUUUUGGCAUUGUUGUAUGGUUUGUUGUGAUUGCCCUCUGUGGCAGGUUGUUGUGAAGGCUGAUUUAAUGGUUUUGUGUUUGGCUGUGUACUGUUGGGGGGGGUUUUGUUUGUUUUCUCACUGUAAUGUUUGACUAUGUGGCGCUCGCUGUUAUUGCUUUGCAGUGUUUAUUGGGGGAUUUGUGUUUGGCUAUUGUUUAUGUGACUUUGUUGUGUUUAUUGUUGUGUCUUUGUGUUUGGCUGUGUUGUGUGUGUUUAGCAUUGUUUGUGUUGUUGUUUGGUGUGUGUAGUGAAACGGUACCGUUUGUGAGAGUGUUUUGUGUGUCAAAAUUUGCAGAGCUUUGUUGCAUUGGAGUUUGUGGGUAUUGUUUUGUGAUUUGAUGUGCUGACUGCUGUUCAUGUGACAUUUGUUGUUGCUGUGUGUGGGAUUUCGCAUUGCUGUGUGGUUUGUUGCAAUUGUUCUCAGUGGCAGGUUGUUGUGAAGGCUGAUUAAAUGGUUUUGUGUUA
Cynoglossus semilaevis (tongue sole) is the source of this 2206-nucleotide long non-coding RNA. RefSeq lists it as uncharacterized. The record is from RefSeq and is a predicted model, not a curated record. Lineage: Eukaryota; Metazoa; Chordata; Actinopteri; Pleuronectiformes; Cynoglossidae. The transcript is spliced from 3 exons.